RNAcentral lists this ribosomal RNA (497 nucleotides) under uncultured bacterium. Its description in RNAcentral is "partial 16S ribosomal RNA". It matches the Rfam family "Bacterial small subunit ribosomal RNA", at positions 28 to 507 of the family's 1533-position model. The record is from RNAcentral.
GACGAACGCUGGCGGCGUGCCUAAUACAUGCAAGUAGAACGCUUAAGCCAGGCGCUUGUUCUUUUUUGCUGAGUCGCGAACGGGUGAGUAACGCGUAGGUAAUCUCCCUUGUAGCGGGGGAUAAUCACUGGACAUGAUAGCUAAUAUCGCAUAACAUCCGUCGACACAUGUCAUCUAUUUGAAAGGCGCAAUUGUUUCACCAUAAGAUGGACCUGCGUUGUCUUAGCUUGUAGGUGUGUUAAUGUCUCAUCUACGCGACGAUAGAUAGCCUACCUGAGAGGGUGAUCGGCCACACUGGGACUGAGACAGGGCCCAGACUCCCACGGGAAGCCGCAGUAGUGUGUCUUCGGCCAUUGGGGCAGACCUGACCGAGCAGCGCCGCGUGAGUGAGGACGGUUGUCGGAUCGGAAAGUUCUGUUGUAGGGCAAGAACCGGUGUGAGAGUGGAAGGUUCACGCUGUGACGGUAGCUUACCAGAAAGGGACGGCUAACUACGUG